CAGCAAAGGAGUCUGAGACAGCAUCUGGAGGGCAUGGGAUGCAAAGGACGAUGAGAUUCUUCACUACCAAUGGUCAAGAGGAACUGAGUGGGGCAACCAGUGUGCAGUGCGUCUUUGAACCCGCUCUUUCCUCCCAGAAAACAUGGUUACACAAGGGAGGUCACUGGAGGGAAGGAGUUUGCGCAUUGCUGGUCCUGGGGCAGAACAGAGAUAAAGCCCUAGAAAAUGUCCAAGCUUUUGGCUGCAAGAAUUUGGGAUACAAACCAUGAAAAUGUGCAGUAGCACUGGGAAAAUAUCCCCUCCAGCCUUCUAUUUCCUUUCAUAUCAGCAUGAAUAUAACUAACGAGGAGCAGAAUGUGAAUAAUUUGAAAGACAGAACUAUUGUAUUUAAUGAAUAAAACACAAAUACUCUUCUCCA
Molecule: long non-coding RNA, 418 nt
Filed under: Phasianus colchicus (ring-necked pheasant)
Lineage: Eukaryota; Metazoa; Chordata; Aves; Galliformes; Phasianidae
Description: lncRNA (ENSPCLG00000021622.1)
Source: RNAcentral